ACACAAAACAGCACCAUCACCUCACAAUUUCAUAGGCACACAAUCAUCUUCUUCACGAUAUAUUCACUCACAUUAACUGAUAAGAAGGAGGAGGAGAUACUCACCCUUAACACAACCUCACACCCUCUCCAUUUUCUCCAUUGAUUACACAAAAAGAACACUACACACAGAAAAUGAGAUAGAUCAAGAGAGAGAGUAGUAGAGAGGAAAGACGUGAAAAAAAAAGAGGAAAAAAGAUCUGGGUUUCUGUCCUUUUCACCUUCAUCCACUCCCACACAUGAAAAACACACGCACAUGAUGCACACAGUGAAACCAACAAAAAAAUAAGCAAAAAUGGUAUGAGAAUCGAAGGAGAAAAUAGAAUUCGGGUUUCUGGUUAGUAUUCCGGCAACCUCUUCAUCGGAAUCUCAUCGUUCUCUUUUGAUUUUUAGGUGAAUCUAAUCAGGAAAUGUUAAUCUCUCCAGAAUCUAUCUUGAUUCAUCGUUACUGCCGCUGUCUAGGCUCACCGGAUCUUAGGCUACACUGAGUUCGACUUUCUGUUGCAUAGUUGGAGUGUUGGGGUUCAUCUGUUUUCAUGUUUCAUCGUUGAAACCGGGUUUCCAUCUUGUCGAAUUGCUUAGAUUUGGUUUUAUUUUUAUUUUUGGGUUUUUAAGAUUCGAAUUUCAUCUUUCUAUUCGGAGAUUUUCUAUUGCCGUUCGGAGUUGUUGAUUCGGAAGUUUAUAAUUGAGUUUGGUUUCCCUAAUUAAAAUUUAUUCGGAUUGGGAUUGGCGAUAUCGAGUUGUAUCUUUGUCAUUUUUGAAGCUCGAAGUCGAGGUUACCGGCCGCGGUUCUAUCUCCGAUAUAUUAAAAGCGACACUUGAGGUCCAAUUCUAUCUUCUCUUUAAUUUUUUUUGUGAAUAUGAAUGAUUUGUUAUUUGAUAUGUUUGAAUCUUUGUUUUUAUGUUGGUUGAUGUUGGAUUUGAAUGUAGAAACUUGGAUUAGUAGUCGAAGAAUUGAUUAAUUAUUUUGAGAAUGAAUGCGGGAAGGGGUUCAUCUCGAUAAAAAUAAAUUUGGAUAAUUUUUAAUUCAUUGAUGAUGUUGAAAUGUGAUAAGAAUCAUGAUAGGUUGAGUUGGAUAGGAAAAUAGUAGGAUCGGGUAGGCAAAUUUAGAACUUUUGGAUUGUUGAAAAUAUUUGUUGAACGGUUUUAUUUUAUGAAUUUGGAUCGAUGGUAUUCAUUAGCCGGGGAAUGCCCCGAUGUCACAUUUGUAUUCAUUCAUCGGGGAAUGCCCCGACGUAUCAUGUACUCAGAGGACGCCCGUGAUGAAGGCCCAAAGCAUCAGGCAAGGCAUUGGAGCAUAGUUUAGGAUUAGCGUAGGUUACCGUAGGUUUACUUUUCAGUACCUUUUUCAUUUUGGGUUGUAAUAAUUUGAUCGGACACUAUAUUUUUGGACUGGUUUUGUUUGUUUGAUUGAUCAUUUUUGUGUGUUUUUGUGUGGUUUGUACAUUUUGUAGUAUCAAAUUAUCUGAUAUGCUCCACCAAGCGACUAUGGUCGAACCACGGGAUCGAGAGGUGUCUAACACCUUCCCCUCGGUCAACAGAAUUCCUUAACCGAAAUCUCUAUUCGCGGAUCAGUCUAAAAGAGUCAAAAUUGUUUUUUUUUUCAAAAGAUUUUCCAAAGUGACUUGGUACACCCGAUUUAUGCCAAGUGGCGACUCUGAGUUUUUGAAUAUAA
This 1713-nucleotide long non-coding RNA is filed under the name Capsicum annuum. Its description in RNAcentral is "long non-coding RNA (CANN_LNC007448)". The record is from RNAcentral. Lineage: Eukaryota; Viridiplantae; Streptophyta; Magnoliopsida; Solanales; Solanaceae.